CGUAGGGUGCAAGCGUUGUUCGGAAUCAUUGGGCGUAAAGCGCGUGCAGGUGGUUAGGUAAGUCGAUUGUGAAAUCCCUGGGCUCAACCGAGGAAGUGCAUUCGAAACUGCUUAGCUAGAGGACGGUAGAGGAAGGUGGAAUUCCAAGUGUAGAGGUGACAUUCGUAGAUAUUUGGAGGAAUACCGGCGGCGAAGGCGGCCUUCUGGACCGAUUCUGACACUGAGACGCGAAAGCGUGGGUAGCAAACAGGAUUAGAUACCCUGGUAGUCCACGCUGUAAACGAUGGGUACUAGGUGUUGCAGGAAUUGACCCCUGCAGUGCCGACGCUAACGCAUUAAGUACCCCGCCUGGGAAGUACGGCCGCAAGGUUA
This 372-nucleotide ribosomal RNA is filed under the name uncultured organism. RNAcentral's name for it is "bacterial SSU rRNA". It matches the Rfam family "Bacterial small subunit ribosomal RNA", at positions 526 to 896 of the family's 1533-position model. The record is from RNAcentral.